RNAcentral lists this ribosomal RNA (447 nucleotides) under uncultured bacterium. RNAcentral describes it as "bacterial SSU rRNA". It matches the Rfam family "Bacterial small subunit ribosomal RNA", at positions 355 to 825 of the family's 1533-position model. The record is from RNAcentral.
UCGGGAAUUUUGGGCAAUGGGGGAAACCCUGACCCAGCAACGCCGCGUGAAGGAUGAAGUAUUUCGGUAUGUAAACUUCGAAAGAAUAGGAAGAAUAAAUGACGGUACUAUUUAUAAGGUCCGGCUAACUACGUGCCAGCAGCCGCGGUAAUACGUAGGGACCAAGCGUUGUUCGGAUUUACUGGGCGUAAAGGGCGCGUAGGCGGCAUGACAAGUCACUUGUGAAAUCUCCGAGCUUAACUCGGAACGGUCAGAUGAUACUGCUGUGCUAGAGUACAGAAGGGGCAAUCGGAAUUCUUGGUGUAGCGGUGAAAUGCGUAGAUAUCAAGAGGAACACCUGAGGUGAAGACGGGUUGCUGGGCUGAUACUGACGCUGAGGCGCGAAAGCUAGGGUAGCAAACGGGAUUAGAUACCCCCGUAGUCCCUGAGCGGGCUGGCAAGGCGCAU